ACAUUCUCCAAAGGGGAGUAGCUUUUACAACAAUGUCGUCAUUACGGGGCUCUUUGCUCUCGGUGUUGUUGGCAGCAUAUUGUUGUUAGCCAGACCUUACCUAUUGGU
RNAcentral lists this unclassified non-coding RNA (108 nucleotides) under Peribacillus simplex. RNAcentral's name for it is "Bacillus simplex yybP-ykoY". The record is from RNAcentral. Lineage: Bacteria; Bacillati; Bacillota; Bacilli; Caryophanales; Bacillaceae.